Molecule: ribosomal RNA, 468 nt
Filed under: uncultured bacterium
Lineage: Bacteria
Description: partial 16S ribosomal RNA
Rfam family: Bacterial small subunit ribosomal RNA
Source: RNAcentral
GACGAACGCUGGCGGCGUGCUUAACACAUGCAAGUCGAACGGAAAGGCCCUGCUUUUGUGGGGUGCUCGAGUGGCGAACGGGUGAGUAGCACGUGAGUAACCUGCCCUUGACUUUGGGAUAACGUCAGGAAACUGGGGCUAAUACCGGAUAGGAGCUCCUGCUGCAUGGUGGGGGUUGGAAAGUUUCGGCGGUUGGGGAUGGACUCGCGGCUUAUCAGCUUGUUGGUGGGGUAGUGGCUUACCAAGGCUUUGACGGGUAGCCGGCCUGAGAGGGUGACCGGCCACAUUGGGACUGAGAUACGGCCCAGACUCCUACGGGCGGCAGCCGUGGGGAGUAUUGCACAAUGGGCGGAAGCCUGCUGCAGCAACGCCGGGUGCGGGAUGACGGCCUUCGGGUUGUAAACAGAUUUCGCCUGUGACGAAGCGAGCGUGACGGUACUGAGUAAAGAAGCACCGGCUAACUACGCG